This 245-nucleotide ribosomal RNA is filed under the name uncultured bacterium. RNAcentral's name for it is "partial 16S ribosomal RNA". It matches the Rfam family "Bacterial small subunit ribosomal RNA", at positions 524 to 768 of the family's 1533-position model. The record is from RNAcentral.
UACGGAGGGUGCAAGCGUUGUUCGGAAUUACUGGGCGUAAAGGGUGUCUAGGCGGUCUGGUAAGUCGGGUGUGAAAUCCCUUGGCUCAACCAAGGAAGGGCAUUCGAUACUGCUAGACUGGAGUGCGGGAGAGGAGAGCGGAAUUCCCAGUGUAGAAGUGAAAUUCGUAGAUAUUGGGAGGAACACCGGUGGCGAAAGCGGCUCUCUGGCCCAGCACUGACGCUCAAACACGAAAGCGUGGGUAG